Otolemur garnettii (small-eared galago) is the source of this 158-nucleotide small nuclear RNA. Its record names the gene U2. It matches the Rfam family "U2 spliceosomal RNA". From Rfam's summary of the family: U2 is a small nuclear RNA (snRNA) component of the spliceosome (involved in pre-mRNA splicing). Complementary binding between U2 snRNA (in an area lying towards the 5' end but 3' to hairpin I) and the branchpoint sequence (BPS) of the intron results the bulging out of an unpaired adenosine, on the BPS, which initiates a nucleophilic attack at the intronic 5' splice site, thus starting the first of two transesterification reactions that mediate splicing. The record is from Ensembl. Lineage: Eukaryota; Metazoa; Chordata; Mammalia; Primates; Galagidae.
AUCACUUCUCAGCCCUUUGGCUAAGGUCAAGUGUAGUAUCUGUUCUUAACAAUUUUAUGUUUUGUAAAUUUCACUUCAAUUUUAAAAAGAAAGAAAGGUAAUAUAUGAAUUUGAAAACUCUUGCUACAAAGGAAAAACAAAGGCACCCUCUAGCUGCA